Molecule: small RNA, 558 nt
Filed under: chicken gut metagenome
Source: RNAcentral
UAUAUUUAGAAGGUGCAGUAUUCUAGUCAUUUGCUAUCUUUUAGGAAGAUGAAGUAAUGGCAUCGACGGGCAUAUCUGUGAAGUUUCUGGUGCUUGCCUUGGUUGCCCAAAUUGGGGUUUGUGCUGGAAGUUAAGAUUUUUGGGCGAGUUAUAACGGCAUAUAACCCACGUCCCAAUUUUCGUGGAGACUCAACAGGGUGAGAAAUCACUCUCUGAGAAAGAACCUGCAUUGCGGUAAAAGUCGUGUGCAGCGUAGCCUAUCCUGAGUGGAUAUUUGGGGAUUAAGUAAUAACGCGAAUUCUUUCUAGGCCAAGAGAGUUUACGCCUGCUUAUGAAACAAUAUUUGCAAAACGGAAGAAUAAAAAGUAGAAAAUGUUAAGGAAAACUUCUAGACUGUUGUCGAGGCAGACAGGAUAAGGAUUAUAGUGUGUUCUGAGUGGCGAUUCGGUGUUAUGUCCUGCUUAAAAGGAAACUGCUCUUUGCGGUGACGCGGAGUGCGGGAAUGGGAAAUCCGACCGAACCUAUGACACAAGGUUUACUUAUCUUGUUACCUUCUUA